UAAUACAGAGGUCCCAAGCGUUGUUCGGAUUCACUGGGCGUAAAGGGUGCGUAGGUGGUGAGGUAAGUCUGAUGUGAAAUCCCGCAGCUCAACUGCGGAACUGCAUCGGAUACUAUCUUGCUAGAGGGUUUGAGGGGGGACUGGAAUUCUCGGUGUAGCAGUGAAAUGCGUAGAUAUCGAGAGGAACACCAGUGGCGAAGGCGAGUCCCUGGAAAACUCCUGACACUGAGGCACGAAAGCUAGGGGAGCAAACAGGAUUAGAUACCCUGGUAGUCCUAGCCGUAAACGGUGCACGUUUGCUGUGAGUGGAAUCGACCCCACUCGUGGCGUAGCCAACGCGUUAAACGUGCCGCCUGGGAAGUACGGUCGCAAGAUUA
Molecule: ribosomal RNA, 377 nt
Filed under: uncultured bacterium
Lineage: Bacteria
Description: bacterial SSU rRNA
Rfam family: Bacterial small subunit ribosomal RNA
Source: RNAcentral